UACGAAGGUGGCAAGCGUUGUUCGGAUUUACUGGGCGUAAAGGGAGCGUAGGUGGUUAGGUAAGCCCUCCGGGAAAUCUUCAGGCUUAACCUGAAAAGGUCGGGGGGGGACUGCCUGGCUAGAGGACGGGAGAGGAGCGCGGAAUUCCCGGUGUAGCGGUGAAAUGCGCAGAUAUCAGGAGGAACACCGGUGGCGAAGGCGGGACUCUGGGCCGAUACUGACGCUGAGGAGCGAAAGCGUGGGGAGCAAACAGG
RNAcentral lists this ribosomal RNA (254 nucleotides) under uncultured bacterium. RNAcentral's name for it is "partial 16S ribosomal RNA". It matches the Rfam family "Bacterial small subunit ribosomal RNA", at positions 524 to 776 of the family's 1533-position model. The record is from RNAcentral.